This 253-nucleotide ribosomal RNA is filed under the name uncultured prokaryote. RNAcentral describes it as "partial 16S ribosomal RNA". It matches the Rfam family "Bacterial small subunit ribosomal RNA", at positions 524 to 776 of the family's 1533-position model. The record is from RNAcentral.
UACGGAGGGUGCAAGCGUUAUCCGGAUUUACUGGGUUUAAAGGGUGCGUAGGUGGGCGAGAAAGUCAGUGGUGAAAUCUCCGGGCUUAACCCGGAAACUGCCAUUGAUACUAUUUGUCUUGAAUACUUUGGAUGUAAGCGGAAUAUGUCAUGUAGCGGUGAAAUGCUUAGAUAUGACAUAGAACACCUAUUGCGAAGGCAGCUAACUACGCGAAUAUUGACGCUGAGGCACGAAAGCGUGGGGAUCAAACAGG